GACGAACGCUGGCGGCGUGCUUAACACAUGCAAGUCGAACGGAAAGGCCCUUCGGGGUACUCGAGUGGCGAACGGGUGAGUAACACGUGGGUGAUCUGCCCUGCACUUUGGGAUAAGCCUGGGAAACUGGGUCUAAUACCGAAUAGGACCGCGCGCUUCAUGGUGUGUGGUGGAAAGCUUUUGCGGUGUGGGAUGGGCCCGCGGCCUAUCAGCUUGUUGGUGGGGUAAUGGCCUACCAAGGCGACGACGGGUAGCCGGCCUGAGAGGGUGACCGGCCACACUGGGACUGAGAUACGGCCCAGACUCCUACGGGAGGCAGCAGUGGGGAAUAUUGCACAAUGGGCGCAAGCCUGAUGCAGCGACGCCGCGUGAGGGAUGACGGCCUUCGGGUUGUAAACCUCUUUCACCAGGGACGAAGCGCAAGUGACGGUACCUGGAGAAGAAGCACCGGCUAACUACGUG
RNAcentral lists this ribosomal RNA (462 nucleotides) under uncultured bacterium. RNAcentral's name for it is "partial 16S ribosomal RNA". It matches the Rfam family "Bacterial small subunit ribosomal RNA", at positions 28 to 507 of the family's 1533-position model. The record is from RNAcentral.